GAGAACCUGGAGGCUCGUCACUACCCCGGGUCAAAUCCAUACUCUUCGUCUGAAAUUAGUUCCGUGCAGGCUGCAUCUUUAUGACUUAACAGCUGAGCGUCCAGGAAAAACCAGGUGGGCCCAGUACAGCAGGACAGGUCCAGCAGAAUGGGGGCCUCUGUCACAGCAUGGGACUUUGGGAACAGGAUUAUAUUCCUUGAGAAUACUUGCAGGUGAAGGUGUUACCCUGGUUCUAGGUCAGCGCUGUCCAGUAGAAAUAUAAUGUGAGCCCCAUAUGUAAUUUUAAAUUUUCUAGUAGCCACAUUUUAAUAAGUAAAAUGAAACAGGAGGAAUUACCCUUAAUAAUUUAUUUGACCCAAUAUAUCCAACAGAUUAUCAUUCCCACGUGUAAUCAAUAUUUUUAAAUUCUUAAUGAGACAUUUUACAUUCUUUUAUUCUUACUAAAUCUAAAUUUAGACACAGCCUGUCUUACUUCGGUUGCUACAUUUGCAUCAGAAAUAUUUGAUCUGUAUUUAGAUUUUUAUAAAAUCUUCAAUCGAAAAUGUAGGUUCACCUUCCAAACAUACUUAGACGUUUUCCAAUAAUUGACUCAAGUACCAGUUUUUAAAUUUAAAUUAGUUUAAAUUAAAUAAAAAUUAGUUCCUCCGUCUCACUAGCCAUGUUUCAAGUGGUCAGUAGCCGACGUGGCCGUGGUGUUGGCCAGCCCAGUCCUAGAGGGAUGGAGGAGCAAGGCAGGUCUUAGAGACACAGCCUCAGGCAUGAGCCGGGUACCAGUUCUUGAGGUAAGGCAGGAGCCGGUCCUCCGAGCACACAGUUAGAGUGGGAGUGAAGAUGCUGAUUCCGUGUGCUAAGCCGGAGCUCCAAGAAAUCCUCACGGCCUGUGGUCACCUGGGCCUGGACCUGCAGCCAUGAGUUGAUAAUCGUGGGAGCUGAGUGAUGGGUGAGAAUGAUGCUUCUGGUCCUGGGACCACACUUUGAGAACCACUGCUCUACUCUCUGGAGAAAAGUCUGUGUAUGCCAGUGAGAAGGGUGCUCUGCUUCUGAAGAAAGAAAGAGAAACGUGAAGAAUUUAGAAAAAGAUGGAAUGCUCAGGUAACUGAAGUCAUCCAGGGGAAGAAAUGCCGAUUUCAAAAUCCCUUCCUCGAGUCAAAAAUGAUGUUAUCAAAUAUCCACUUAAUAAGGAACUAAAAUAAUACCUUCUUAUAUCAAGGCUGAGCUUGGAGGCCUCAAGAACUGGCUUCUUAUCAACGCCAAAGAGGAGAUGGUUAGGGCAGAGAGUGAACGGAGGUAUAAAGGCGCCUCCAUCUGAUCACGUCUUGAAAUUAUAGGGUUGUUGGAAAAUAUUAUCAAGUCUUCCUGAGAACUGGCAAUAUUC
Molecule: long non-coding RNA, 1375 nt
Filed under: Equus caballus (horse)
Lineage: Eukaryota; Metazoa; Chordata; Mammalia; Perissodactyla; Equidae
Description: lncRNA (ENSECAG00000047758.1)
Source: RNAcentral